Molecule: small nuclear RNA, 100 nt
Organism: Monodelphis domestica (gray short-tailed opossum)
Lineage: Eukaryota; Metazoa; Chordata; Mammalia; Didelphimorphia; Didelphidae
Source: Ensembl
GUGCUCAUUUUGACAACACAUACUAAAAUUAGAAUGAUAGAUAUUAGCAUGGUCUUUGCAUGAGGAUGACAAAUAAAUUCAUGAAGCAUUCCAUAUUUUU